RNAcentral lists this long non-coding RNA (6775 nucleotides) under Xyrichtys novacula (pearly razorfish). Lineage: Eukaryota; Metazoa; Chordata; Actinopteri; Labriformes; Labridae. The record is from RNAcentral.
UGGGAUUAGCGUAUUUUGGGAGUUCUGUGAUUAUAUAAAGAAACUCUAUAGGAUAAGACCUCAUUUCCAGUAUCAGCUCUAAGAAUAUCAUGUCACAAUGUACCAAUGUAAUUAAAAAUCCACUCGCUCUGUGAGAUAGCAACUUUACAGUUAUAAACUUUGGGAGUUUCCCUGACAUCUACAGGGUUCUUUCUAUCCCACAGAGAGGAUCAGUGUGUUUUCAGAGUUUGUCUAGAUCCAGUCUCCCAACAGCAAAGGUAAUCUGUGAUGGUUUAUGUAUUAGUUAGGGUGACCAUACUACACGGGGCAGAGUCAAGUAGUUAAUUGUAAGAGUUUUUCGGGUCAGGUUGAGUGUUUUUUGCACACUUUAAACUCAGUUAGUCUAGGCUACACAAACUCAAAACUUCCAUACAAAAUCCCUGACAUUUGAAAGAUUUUAUAAAUUCCCCUGGACAAGGCCGGACAGCCCCCCCCCCCUCCAAAAAAAAAAAAGGGACAUGUCUGGGUAAAAGAGGACGUUUGGUCACCCUAUAUUGCUUUUAGUUCAUGGUAUGAUUUUUGUUGUUAGUUGACUGUGCACAAUAAGGGUUGCCAUCUUUGUUUUGGUCUGUCGAACAGUCAGAGGCAGUAUCUAGGAUCAGCUGACCUGUAAAGGACCAGUGAGAGGCCUGAGUGGCCUUGACAGGUUUCAUAGUCCGCUAUGGUAUAAAAAUACUACAUGUUCAACUGUUUUGUAUGAUAUUGCAUUUCUGAAGAAUAAAAAAACUAAUAAAAAAUAAUAUUUAAAAAAGUUAUCUCAAAACUCUAAUAUAAGUAGAGCUUUGCUCUUUCUAUGUCCCAAGAUUUCCACAUCAGAUUUUUUUAAUUUCAUUAAUUGUGCCAAUUUUUAUUUUAAGAUAUUAAAAACUGUAGCUUUAAAAGAGUUUAAAAACAUCAACUUAAGUGUGUCGGAUCAUUAUUUUUGUUAAAUAAAAUCGCUUUUGAUUUUGCUUUUGCUGUUUCCUAAAAAUAAAUCAUAUCUAUCUAUCUAUCUAUCUAUCUAUCUAUCUAUCUAUCUAUCUAUCUAUCUAUCUAUCUAUCUAUCUAUCUAUCUAUCUAUCUAUCUAUCUAUCUAUCUAUCUAUCUAGGUAAAUGUAUGUUCUAUUUUAAACACUGAAAAAAAACCUCUACCUGCAGUGACAGCUCAGCUCGAAGACUUUUUUUUUGGCAGCAUUUUAAACAGCCUCUCACACUCCAGAUAUCGUCCUCUUGCUUUAGUUUCUUCCUCAAUUUUGCUGACAGCCAUCCACUUGGCCUCGUGUGGCCAAUUUUGGCCUCUUCUGCCGCUCAGUCUGGAAAAUAAACCCUGGGCACAAUGAGCUGAAUUUGCCCAAGUAUUUGUGUUUGGGAUCAUCAGAUUAACCUCUCCAUCGAUGAAUGUGGCAGCCAGGAUGCAGCUGCUGCCUCCUAAUGAGGACCAGAGAGGCCCCGGGCCGGAGUAUAACACAUGCAUAACCCCUCUAUCUUUACUCCAAGUGUGAAUUAAAAAUCAACGAUUUACUCUCUCUUCCCUUUUAUGGUAAUUCACCUGACAUCUCCAGUUCACAUCCUAUUCUAUAAGUCUCCACAGACUUUGUCCUUAUUUAACCCCUAUACUGUAAGAAAAGUGUUUCUAUUGGGCGAAAGUAAGGACAUGAAAAACAGCCUGUUUUUCCUACAGGUUUUCAAAGCUUCCACUAGAUGGCAUAGCUGCGUCACUUUACACAUGCCGUCCAGAGGAAUCCCAGUUGCCUUCAUCAGUGAAGCAUGAUAGAUUUGCCAGAUGUUCCUGUAAACCUCUAGAUGAGCUGAAAUGAAAGUGUUUAUGUCUGCAGCCCCCAAAGCUGAAUGUACAGAGUGUGCAGAUUUGCUGUUUUGGUCUUUAAUCUUCCUUUGUGUCUGGGGCAAUAACAAUGUAUGUAAUGAUCUAGCUGUAAUGAUACCACUUAUCUUAAUAAAGAAACAGCCAGACAUUUUUAUUAUCCAGCCUGAGAAUGGUAUGUUUCUUUUAUUACUGUCAUUCUUAUUGAGAAUGGUGUUAAAUCAAUUUUGCUGUAAGGGAAAAUAAAUUUAAAGGAAGGAAAAUGUCAUAUACCUCAGCGUAAAAACUAAAAAAAUGACUCAGGAUGGCACUUAACGGGAGAAAUUUGAUACCAAAACAACAUUUACAGUGUUGAAAUGUCGAACUGCAUUAGACUUACUGGGAUUGAGACCAUUAAAGGGUCACAAGAGCUGAUUUAUAAGUUACACAUAUUUUUCAUACUGGUCAUAUUUUUCAUACUGUUUUUGGAUAUGAAUUUUUAUGCAUGUUAUUUACCCCCCAUCACGCCAAAACGAUGCUCUAUGUUGUUUAUCCAAUUCCAAUAAAAUUCACUCUCAUUAGCAGUCGCCAAAUGUCUACACAGAGAAAGUUCAAAGAGUGGAUAAUCAUGCAGGCCAAAGUAUGUUCAUCACCCAACAUGUAAUUUACAUUUUUCUGUCUUGUUUUUCCUGACAGUCAUUCCUGCCCUCUAUUUCCUCAUCUGUAUUCUAUUUCAUCAUAUCCCCUCUCCAAUUCUUCUUCCUAUUCUCCUCUUCAUUACUAUAUUGAUGAAAAUCAUUCCUCCUUUGUUUUUAACCCACAAAUCUGAACAUUUAAGGAGAAUAAUCCUCCCAAUCAACUCAUGAGUCUGACUCCAAACAGGUGUGCAAACCACUGCUGACUCUAAUGAGGCGACCUGAGCAGGUUUCAAUGUGUCUGCUAUUGUUAAGUUGUUGUACCAUUUAAAAUAAACACAUUCCCAAUUCCCCCUGCGUUCUUUGGGUUUUUUUUUUAAAGGAGUUGCAAUUUUUUCAUUGGGUUCACAGUUUUGCACCCAUAACAAAACAAAUCAUCAAAACAAACCUUAAUUAUUCAAACAGCAUUAUGUGUGAUCAAUAGAAAUAUCCCACAGAGCUGCUACUCCUUUGUCAUCACACAUAAAUUGAGGCUUACAUUCAUAGUAAUCCAUGAAAUUUAUAAGUGAUAUUAUGUUUAUUAGUUUGUGCAUUAAAUUGAUUGCAUUAUUAGAGAAAUUAUUCUGUUUAUUUAUCAUUGACGUUGAGAAAUGUAUCACAAAGGCAUAUGGAUGCCCACUGUAAGUCACCACAGACCAGCUACAUCAGACAUGUCCCAAGUCUGGCCAAGGGGCCAAUCACAGCUUGAGAUCCAGUUUUAUAAAGCCCCCAGCUUCCAGCUAGCUUCCAGUAUAGUUAGUGGUGUAACAGACAGAAAAGACAAUACUACAGAAGUAUUUAUUUCAGUUUUUAUGUGUUGACAGAAACUCUGCAGUAGUAUAGAGUCAUUUUGAUAAAAUCCGUCAUUAGAGCACUGAUGGUAUUAUGGCGACCUACUGGGCAUCUGCAGAAUUGAGGGGUACUACUCAUGUGUCCAUACCUCUCUGCUGUCCACUGUUCAUGUGUUAUUGCUGUAGCUAUGAUUACAGAAGUGACUGUAAAGACAUAAUAUUACCCAGUCUUCUGCUAUUUCAGAAUAAACAGCAUGUUGGUCCCAAAAGUGAUUAUCUAUCAAACGACACGAGAGAGAGAGAGAGAGAGAGAGAGAGAGAGAGAGAGAGAGAGAGAGAGAGAGAGAGAGAGAGAGAGUUGAAGACCUGCUACAGUGGCACAGAAGGGAACCACAUCCUGAAUUUAGAGUAACUUUAUAUUUUCUUUCAAGCGCAAACACAAAUCUGAAAUAACUCCAGUUAUGUCAUUUACAUAAGCUAGACCUUGGUAUCACUAAACACUGGACCCUCAAAGAUAAACCAUCAUUUAAAAACUCUCAAAAUCAAUACGUAGUCUGGUUUAUGCAAACAUAUGGGGAACAGAUAUCUUCAACACUAGGUCAGACUAAGUGAAGACUAAACAUUCACAGGUGUUCCUUCUUCAUGUUUGUCCUUAUUUUUCUAAACACAUGUUUUUUAUCUUUCCUCAAAGCUGUAUCAGUUUUCAUGCUUUCAGGUAACAGCGUCUGUGUGAUAUUAAAUGUUAAAGGUUACAGUCAUAUUUGGAGCAACAUAUCCAGCAGCUUUGGAUUUUUGCACAAUCCAUUCUUCAUGUAUCACUCAUCAACCAUUCCUGUCACGUGAUCCGACACAGGAUCUGUCAUUAAAUCAAUAAAACCGUCACGGCGCCGUCUCCAGCUGUUUGCCUGAUGUUAAUCCAAGCAUGUGAGUGACGCUUACCCUCUGAGUGUUUACUGAUAAUUUUCACUGACUUUUAAAACUGUGAGUGAGAAUCUGUGACCCGUGCUGAGUUCAUGGAAGGUGAUCUUCUCCGCCUCCAUCAUCCUCAGCACCCCUCAAAGAUUAGCACAAACAGGACAUGUUUACAUGAACUCAUACAGUAUGACAGCUGCCUGUCAAUCAAACCCUGGCUGCUGCAGAGGCGCCAAGCGUCCCCCUGGCAAAUCCUGGCUGCUGCAUGUCAUUACUUGCUCCUAUUGUUUUGUGCUCCAGCAAAGCAUCAAGGAGGUCAGAGGUCGAUGACCUUGUCAUUGUCACAUACAAGGUCAUGCAAUUACUGAACCAUGUUACCUUCACUUUAUUGGUGGAGCUGUGUACUUGCACUCGAAUCUUGGCAGAAAUAAGAGCAUGAGCGGGAAUCUAUCUGCAGAUUCAUGAGAAAUACCAUAGAAGUGUAAAAGUUAUUGACAUGAACACAUUCAUCACAGCGAGUUCAAGGAUUCUCACCCAUUGUUUCAGCUUUGAUUGCUUACCAAGAUCUUUGGUGGUAUUUCCUCUUGUUUUUGAACAUUUCACACUUAAGCUUGUCAUUUUCCAGAAGUUAUGCGGUUACUCAGUCUGCAGAGGGAAUAUUUUGCAGCAGCAGGACAUGCAUUUGUAAUACCAAGCAAACGCACACAUGCACACACACUCAAAGGUAUGUGGAAAACAUUCAGGAGGUAACAGUUCAACCUGCAAUUAAAACACAAUGGGUAUUGUGCAAAAUGUUUCUGUGCUCUUUAUCUGCAUACCUCUCCGUUUCCCCCGCCGACCCUGGCUGUACAGGAAACUGUCACAAUGGCUAAUAAAUUGUCCAGCCGAUCAAUGAGGCAGCCAGGAGCCGGGAGGGGAGCGGAUACAGUCAGUGUUUACUCAGGGAGAGGGAGCGUUUUAGUCCUGAAAACAUACAAGUCACAGACACAGUCACGCAAACAACAUACUUCAGCUGGGAGCUGCAUGGAUCAAUCAGAACCCUGUCAGAUAUCAAUUAUUAAAAGACACGUACACACACAUGUAUUUACUGUAAGAGGAGAAGACAGCUUAUCUGCUUCAUGUUUGUGUUCCUGUCAGCUGUCCAUAAACCAGCAGCAGGGCCAUGAUAAGAAGAGUCAGACCACAUGAGUGGAUGUGAAGUUGGCCCCUUUUCUCUUAUCGGGAGCACAAUGCUGCUCUGACAUGACAUCAUAGAGAGGAAGAGCCCUCUCCACCCUCUGCUCUGCCCCUGAUACACGCUGUUACAUCACAGAGGCCUUCCUGUCUUUACGUCCCAGCUGAACUGAAGGUUUCCUCCAUCACGGUGAACACACUGGAGACAGACAGGCAGACAGACAGACAGACAGACAGAAGCAGCUUUCUCACACACGUAGAGAAAAAAGAGGGGAUACUUUAUGUGUUUGAGGAAAUCAGAAGGAGGGAAAAUGAAGAAAGGUGUUGAUUGGAUUACUGAAGGUGAUAUUUUACACACAUGGCAGAUUUUAAACCAGACGGUGUUUGAUUGUAAAUCCAGAAAGGAAUCAUGAAAGAGAAAACCGAUUUGGGGUUAGCAUAGUGCCAUUUUCGUAUGGAAAAAACAACAACAAUGAGAUUAGUGUGGGUAUUAUUUAAUGAGCAGACUAUCACAAACAAUUUUAUUCACACAAAUAGAUUAAAAUGAAGGCUUUAUAAAAGAUGAAACUGUCUGAAUCUUCAAUUUAAAACUUUAAUUUAAAGGAGCAACUUUAAUUUGUGAAGAAGAUUAUAUCUUGGUUAGUUUAUGUCAUACACAGUGUUGUAUAUAAGAGAGGUCAAGGAGGAGGUAAAAAUAGCUAAGAAAGUUUAUUAUUUUUUAAGAUUUAUUUUAAUUUCUGUUUUUGUUUUUUUUCUUAUUUCAGUUUGGUUUUGAUAUUUUUUUAAUGGGUCGGUUUUUGCUUUACUUCUUUGUUGUUGUUUUUUGUUUGUUUAUUUUGGGUAUGCAUAGUCAUGUUAGAUUCUAUUUUUGUAUGUCAGGGAAAACAUCCUCUAAACAUUCAACACUGUGUAGAAAAAAUGAAAAACAAACAUCAUCUUAUGUGGUUAUCUCCCUGUCAGAGGCAAAACUUUUAUCAAAUUACAUGGCUGGUGUAACAACACUGAUGCAAUAAUUAACUACAUGUAUUGGUGAGUGGACUCAGAUACUGAAAGCCACCCCAGCAGUCUCAGAGCUGAGGUUGGGCUACCCCAGUCAGAAAGGUCUGGGCACCUCUGCAUGUCGGGAAAUAUGAAAAUGUUAUUUUAUCAAUAGAUGGAUCAGUGCUGAUCAGAGGGCUCUGCUGAUGGAUUAGAGGGACUACAGUGAAUGAUCAUCACAAUGUGGGUAUAUAUUUUUCGAGGGAUCAAAAUAACAGAGUAUUUAAAAAAAAAAAAGUUAAAACCAGAGUUUUGAGUCUCUGUGACGUCAUAAAAGUUUGUUUUAUUCUAUUUUUUCAUGACUUACCACCUCUCCUCCUCUUUCCUCCACAGUCACUGACCUGAAUUGAAAAUGAAAUGCAGUAAUC